RNAcentral lists this small RNA (1096 nucleotides) under Pongo abelii (Sumatran orangutan). RNAcentral's name for it is "retained intron". The record is from RNAcentral. Lineage: Eukaryota; Metazoa; Chordata; Mammalia; Primates; Hominidae.
ACUCGCCAACGCAGAUGUGGUGAAUGUGGACUUGUCGGCUCCCCUUCCUUCCAUUCCUUCUUGAGAAACUCAUCACACACUGCCUUUCCCUCCUGUUGUCUCCUGCCUGCCGCCGGGCGAUCCCCACUGCCCUGCACCGCUCCGCCCACUCUCGCACGCUGUGGUGAGAUUGGCUGGCGUCCAGCCUACAACACAGCAGUCCCCUCAGGAUGAGCAGGAAAAGCUCUUGGAUGAAGCCAUACAGGCUGUGAAGGUCCAGUCAUUCCAAAUGAAGAGAUGCCUGUCCUUAAUCAUAAUUAAAAGAUAUGGCCAUUUCUGAUGAACUGCACUACUUGGAGGUCUACCUGACAGAUGAGUUUGCUAAAGGAAGGAAAGUGGCAGAUCUCUAUGAACUUGUACAGUAUGCUGGAAACAUUAUCCCAAGGCUUUACCUUUUGAUCACAGUUGGAGUUGUAUAUGUCAAGUCAUUUCCUCAGUCCAGGAAGGACAUUUUGAAAGAUUUGGUAGAAAUGUGCCGUGGUGUGCAGCAUCCCUUGAGGGGUCUGUUUCUUCGAAAUUACCUUCUUCAGUGUACCAGAAAUAUCUUACCUGAUGAAGGAGAGCCAACAGAUGAAGAAACAACUGGUGACAUCAGUGAUUCCAUGGAUUUUGUACUGCUCAACUUUGCAGAAAUGAACAAGCUCUGGGUGCGAAUGCAGCAUCAGGGACAUAGCCGAGACAGAGAAAAAAGAGAACGAGAAAGACAAGAACUGAGAAUUUUAGUGGGAACAAAUUUGGUGCGCCUCAGUCAGUUGGAAGGUGUAAAUGUGGAACGUUACAAACAGAUCGUUUUGACUGGCAUAUUGGAGCAAGUUGUAAACUGUAGGGAUGCUUUGGCUCAAGAAUAUCUCAUGGAGUGUAUUAUUCAGGUUUUCCCUGAUGAAUUUCACCUCCAGACUUUGAAUCCUUUUCUUCGGGCCUGUGCUGAGUUACACCAGAAUGUAAACGUGAAAAACAUAAUCAUUGCUUUAAUUGAUAGGUAAGACCUUCCAACACUGGAGGAUAGAUGCUCUCACUUGGGAAUAAUGAAUUUUAAACAUUUUUUUGAAUUAUUUGU